RNAcentral lists this long non-coding RNA (738 nucleotides) under Homo sapiens (human). RNAcentral describes it as "HSALNT0230087". Lineage: Eukaryota; Metazoa; Chordata; Mammalia; Primates; Hominidae. The record is from RNAcentral.
GGCGGCAAAAAGCCACGGCGGCGAGGGCAAAGAGCCCCAAAAGCCGCGGCGGCAGGGGCUAAAUUCCGCGAGGCCGGGGGCAGAAAGCCGCGGCGGCGGGGGCAGAAAGCCGCAAAAACCCGCAGCGGCGGGGUCAAAAAUCCACGACGGCAAAAAGCCGCGUCGGCGGGGGCAAAAUAGUGGAAAUGGGGUAGACAGCCAGCACAGCUUGGCAUUCCUGGAGUGUGAUGUGGAAGGAAAAGUGCAGAGGAAGACAAACAAAGAUGUAGAAACAGAGUUAGAUAAAAAAAGGACUUGUCUCGGAGCAUGAUUUCUGAAAAUAGUGGAAUCGAGUUUGAAUCUAGAUGCAUGUCCUCCAAGAAGCAGAAUCAAAAUAUAAAUAAAAGACUGGCUUAAGAUGAAAGGAAACCUUACAAACGAAAAGAAGCCAGAUGAGAGGCACUUAACUGAGAAUGAAAAGAAACUGAGUGGACAAAAUAAUUAUGAGAAGAUGAACCUUCAAAUCAGAAAGAGGGCAAAAAGCUUAUUUGAUACUAUGGGAACUCAAAAGAGAGUGAACACAAAUGUGAAAAUUCCAGGAGUAAAGAAAAGUAGCAUAGCUAAAUUAAGAGCAUGAGAAAAUGUAUACAAUUUUGAGUAAUAACAGAAAUCAAAAGUAACUAUUGUAUGUUAUAUUUUAGUAGAGCAACACUGAAGAAGAAUGAAAACAAGAAAUAAUAUUAAAUAUGAACAUAUGGA